CUCCCGGCCGACGGAGCUGAAGGGGCGGGGGUUCCUUCCUUGGAGUGUUUCUAGAGCUCGGAGGCUGCUGGUAGGGGGGCACCACUUUCAGAUAAAAACAUAGACCUGAAUGGCAUCAUCCAGUAUCCAAGGAAACCAUGCUUGCUUGAAGAGUGAGCAGGUGAGCAAAGAGACAAGAUUACAUGUUUAAACCAAGAAAAGAAUCUUGAAAAUUUUUUACAGACAAUGGGAAGCACUGACACCUUUAAGAGGGAUGUGUAAUACACUCGCUAAUGUUUCCUGUUGUGUUUCUGAAAACCUGUGUCAGAAAAUAUACUGUCUCGAACUGGAAAGAUGUGAGAUUCUUAAUUUUAAAGAGCUCCAUUAAUAUUGUGUGUCUGUAACCAGCUAAUGAGCUGCAACAGAGCCUGGCCUUCAUUUUCAGCAAAUUAAGUUCAUCCCUCAUAGGAAUUGUGGUCUGGCUGUGGCACCGCUCCUAGACCCACUUAUAUGUUAUCUCAUCAAGGAAAAUUUUCCCAUCCUCCCAAAGGAGAACAGAACUCCACUGUAGUGGAAUAAGUUUUUUGAGGUAUGAACCAAUGCUUCUGUCCUCCUAAUAUUCUUACAACCUCUAACCCGCCUCUGCAUUCAGGAAACCAGAAUACAUUAGGGAGGAGACAGCAAAGGAAAACAAAAGACAAUAAAGGAAUCGAUGUAUUUGUUUUGUAACUCAAAGUUAAAGUCCAAAUUUAGAAAAUAGAUUUGAAAGCAUAACGGGUCAAUUUCUGUUGUGCCUCUGAAGAAGAAAGUUGAGAAAGAACGAAGAGGGCUUAGAUGCUGGUGGGUGUCUGCAAAAAAGCCCAGACAAUGCCUGGAAUAAUAAAGAAGCAGAGAACUUCCAGGGAGGAAGGGAACAGUCUCUAAGAUGGAGCAGGACCUGGGGAAGUCUUGCUUCUCCACUGAAGAACAUGGACCAAGACCAGGGCAGAAGGGAUGGCAGCUUCCCCGUAGAGCAGUGAGGACGGAUGACGACAUGAAGACUGGACUGCUCAUUCUCACCUUCCCUUCACAGUCCCUGGCACUUUUUAAGCUCCUUGGAAAUUAGAGGCAAUCUAGGAGAAAGGGGGAUAGAAGCAGACCUUAUUUCUGUUACAAUGUGAAUGGGAGCUUCAAAUUGAAGAUAAAAUGUUAUGGAAAAAGUGAAAUUAUAUAUAUAUUUUGCACAUCGUAGCUUGGUGGCUUUAGGUUUCUGUGCAUCAAAGGAAGGAAUUGUGUCUUCCUCAUUGUCAUACUCUGGUAUUGGAGAUUGUGCAACAUAUAUAGUAGGUAUGCAAUAAACAGCUGUUAACAGAAUGAA
RNAcentral lists this long non-coding RNA (1336 nucleotides) under Homo sapiens (human). Its description in RNAcentral is "MEF2C antisense RNA 1". Lineage: Eukaryota; Metazoa; Chordata; Mammalia; Primates; Hominidae. The record is from RNAcentral.